AUUGAACGCUGGCGGCAUGCCUUACACAUGCAAGUCGAACGGUAACAGGUUAAGCUGACGAGUGGCGAACGGGUGAGUAAUACAUCGGAACGUGCCCAGUAGUGGGGGAUAGCCCGGCGAAAGCCGGAUUAAUACCGCAUACGACCUAAGGGUGAAAGGGGGGGAUCGCAAGACCUCUCGCUAUUGGAGCGGCCGAUGUCAGAUUAGGUAGUUGGUGGGGUAAAGGCUCACCAAGCCGACGAUCUGUAGCUGGUCUGAGAGGACGACCAGCCACACUGGGACUGAGACACGGCCCAGACUCGUACGGGAGGCAGCAGUGGGGAAUUCUGGACAAUGGGCGCAAGCCUGAUCCAGCCAUGCCGCGUGCGGGAAGAAGGCCUUCGGGUUGUAAACCGCUUUUGUCAGGGAAGAAAUCCUUUGGGUUAAUACCUCGGGGGGAUGACGGUACCUGAAGAAUAAGCACCGGCUAACUACGUGCCAGCCGCCGCCGUAA
This 493-nucleotide ribosomal RNA is filed under the name uncultured bacterium. Its description in RNAcentral is "partial 16S ribosomal RNA". It matches the Rfam family "Bacterial small subunit ribosomal RNA", at positions 30 to 523 of the family's 1533-position model. The record is from RNAcentral.